This 564-nucleotide long non-coding RNA is filed under the name Meleagris gallopavo (turkey). Its description in RNAcentral is "lncRNA (ENSMGAG00000019093.1)". Lineage: Eukaryota; Metazoa; Chordata; Aves; Galliformes; Phasianidae. The record is from RNAcentral.
AGGAACAGGCACACCAAUAGUUUGCCUUCUCAGGAUGCCCUGCCACAUCUCUGGUGCCAAACACAAUCCACAGCUCUUUUUCAUGAUCAAAGGGUAGCUUGUGUGGUGCUCGCAGCCUGCAGGAGCUCCAUCCAAUCCUUCUCUUAGAUGGAGUCAGAGAGCUCCAGUAGUGGAAAAUUGAAGGGAUUGCCUUUAGCUUGGGCUUGAAGGCAGGUCUCCUUCCUGCAGCAAAUGGCACAAUGGCAGUUUGCCCACAACACACCCCAUGCCCAUGCAACGAGCACCAUGCUUCCCAUCUGCCUCAGCAGCCUGGUCAUCAGCUGUUGCUGCAGCACAGAGAAUGGCAGAGCCUGCAGAAACCAGCACACACCUUGUGGUCCCACCUGGCUGCUGCUUUGUUCUGCAGUUGUUCUCUCAUCUGGUUUUUGUGUCAGAGAAAACUCAUGCUGCAGCAAGUUCCAUGGGAGCAGCGGAGCCUCAAUUUCCUCAGUUCUACCAGAAAGGACCACCAAAGGAAGAUGGCAACACAGAAGGUUCAACAGCUGUAGUCCCUUCAUCACUUGA